Molecule: ribosomal RNA, 497 nt
Filed under: uncultured bacterium
Lineage: Bacteria
Description: partial 16S ribosomal RNA
Rfam family: Bacterial small subunit ribosomal RNA
Source: RNAcentral
GAUGAACGCUGGCGGCGUGCUUAACACAUGCAAGUCGAACGGAAGGACGCGAAGCUUGGUUGUCGGGUGGUAGCCGGGGGCGGGAGAGAAACGAGUGGAUACCGUACUUGUAAGUAUGGGAUCACAAGGGGAAACAGGAGCUAAUACGGGAUGAGAUUGUGAACCGCAGGGCUGAAAGGAGAGAUACGGCCUGGGUGUCUCUAGUAGCUGGAUCCGGGCUGCAUUAGCUAGUUGGUAAGGUAACGGCUUGCCAAGGCGACGAUGCGUAGCCGAGCUGAGAGGGCGAUCGGCCACACUGGAACUGAGACACGGUCCAGACUCCUACGGGAGGCAGCAGUGGGGAAUCUUCCGCAAUGGGCGCAAGCCUGACGGAGCAACGCCGCGUGCGUGAUGAAGGUCUUCGGGUCGUAAACCUCUUUUAUUAGGGAAGAACAGAUUUUGACUUAACUGUGGACAUCUUGACGGUACCGAAUCAAUAAGCCCCGGCUAACUACGUG